GCGAGAGAAGAGAGAGGAAGAGACAGGCUGGCUGGAAAGGACAGCUUUGCUGAGCCCAGGAGAAAAUGGUCUGAGUAAUUAUCAAUGCCUGCCGCUAUGUGGCCAGGAAGAUGGGGACCCUGUGCCACCGGGAGCACCAGGAGCCACCACCGUGCCCACUGCAGGCAGCCCCCCACCGCCACCACCAAAAUGUAAAGGCAGAGGUAUCAACAGCCCCCCAAGCACGAGCCUCGCUUCCCAGGAACAGCAACCCCAUCCAAGACCAGCCCUGCAGGUCCUGAGGGUAAAAGUGCUUGUGGUCCUGACCUGAAGGCCACGAGCUUUCCUCCCACCAGAUUUCCCAGAGAAUGCAUUUGCUGGGAAUCCUGCAGCCCAGGGAUUGGAAAAUAUCAGCAAAUCCCUCCUGUAUCUGCUCUCAACACAGAAGCACAAUGACAGAAAAUGUCUUGAUCAGUCUCUCGUUACCAGAAUUUUCCAGCUGGCAGAAAAAAAAGAUUGCCAAUGUGUAUCAGAUGCUCCCAGCACUUUUGGGCUGUGGAGCGCCAGGGGAAGAGCAUGAGCCAUUGCAUCCUAGCAGCGAAUCGGAUUUUUAUACUGUGAAACCAAAUUGUGCCCCUAAAGAUAUUGGUAUACAUUCAGGCAAUUUCCAUGAAGGUAAAAUCAGCUCCUGAGCUAGAGUAAG
Haliaeetus leucocephalus (bald eagle) is the source of this 682-nucleotide long non-coding RNA. RefSeq lists it as uncharacterized. Lineage: Eukaryota; Metazoa; Chordata; Aves; Accipitriformes; Accipitridae. The transcript has 3 exons. The record is from RefSeq and is a predicted model, not a curated record.